GACGAACGCUGGCGGCGUGCUUAACACAUGCGAGUCGAGCGGAAAGGCCACUUCGGUGGUACUCGAGCGGCGAACGGGUGAGUAACACGUGAGUAAUCUGCCCCUGGCUUUGGGAUAGCCACCGGAAACGGUGAUUAAUACCGGAUACGACCACUUCUCGCAUGGGAUGGUGGUGGAAAGUUUUUUCGGCCAGGGAUGUGCUCGCGGCCUAUCAGCUUGAUGGUGAGGUAAUGGCUCACCAUGGCUUCGACGGGUAGCCGGCCUGAGAGGGUGACCGGUCACACUGGGACUGAGACACGGCCCAGACUCCUACGGGAGGCAGCAGUGGGGAAUAUUGGACAAUGGGCGGAAGCCUGAUCCAGCAACGCCGCGUGAGGGAUGACGGCCUUCGGGUUGUAAAGUUCUUUUGGUGGGGACGAUGAUGACGGUACCCACAGAAUAAGCUCCGGCUAACUUCGUGCCAGCCGCCGCCGUAA
RNAcentral lists this ribosomal RNA (476 nucleotides) under uncultured bacterium. RNAcentral's name for it is "partial 16S ribosomal RNA". It matches the Rfam family "Bacterial small subunit ribosomal RNA", at positions 28 to 523 of the family's 1533-position model. The record is from RNAcentral.